GGGAUUUGGGCCUGGUCUCUGGGAAGAAGUAUACGCUUCCCGUCGGACUCAUUAAAGAAGAAAUCUUCAUCCAGUUCGAGACAAAUAAAGCCGUGCACUGGAUUUAGGGCAAGCGUUAUGGAAAGAAAUGCGAGUCAAGGUCUUUUCCACUAUGCGCCGGCCAACCCACGUCAUACCAGGGAUGUUAACCCACCAAACGGUUGAGGCCAGAUAUGGAACAGCAGGUUGGAACCAAUAUGGCUGAAUAUCUCUGCCAGGCGACCAAAAGAACAAGAGACCCAAACCCUUCGUUCUGACUCUCGGGGACAAUCGCCUCUAAUCCCUGGCAUUCACCGUCAGGCUCUGGAGCAGACGACAUUGUUUCAGCAUUUAUUUAUUUUUUAAACAUAAUUUCCUAUUGACAAUGUAUACCUGGUAGGGGUUGGAGGAGUAGAGGGUAAAGGGUUUACUUGUCUUCAGCCCCGUUCCCCAGUAGGGCUGCUGGGAUUUUCA
Salvelinus sp. IW2-2015 is the source of this 492-nucleotide non-coding RNA. Lineage: Eukaryota; Metazoa; Chordata; Actinopteri; Salmoniformes; Salmonidae. The record is from RefSeq and is a predicted model, not a curated record.